GGACCCAUGGUCUAGUGGUUAUGACAUCUCGUUUACACCGAGAAGAUCGCAGGUUCGAUUCCUGCUGGGUCCA
Molecule: transfer RNA, 73 nt
Filed under: Candidatus Pacearchaeota archaeon
Lineage: Archaea; Nanobdellati
Description: tRNA-Val
Rfam family: tRNA
About the family: Transfer RNA (tRNA) molecules are approximately 80 nucleotides in length. Their secondary structure includes four short double-helical elements and three loops (D, anti-codon, and T loops).
Source: RNAcentral